RNAcentral lists this ribosomal RNA (250 nucleotides) under uncultured bacterium. RNAcentral's name for it is "partial 16S ribosomal RNA". It matches the Rfam family "Bacterial small subunit ribosomal RNA", at positions 103 to 339 of the family's 1533-position model. The record is from RNAcentral.
CGGGUGAGUAACACGUGAGUAACCUACCCCAGAGCAUGGGAUAACACAACGAAAGUUGUGCUAAUACUGUAUAAGCUCACGGUCUCUUUGGGGACAGUGAGAAAAGGUGGCCUCUGAAUAUGCUGCCGCUUUGGGAUGGGCUCGCGGUCCAUUAGCUUGUUGGUAGGGUAAAGGCCUACCAAGGCGACGAUGGAUAGUUGGUCUGAGAGGAUGAUCAGCCACACUGGAACUGAGACACGGUCCAGACUCC